AGUUUGAUUAUGGCUCCGAUUGAACGCUGGCGGGAUGCUUUACACAUGCAAGUCGAACGGCAACACGGACUUCGGUCUGGUGGCAGAUGGCGAACGGGUGAUAAUGUAUCGGAACGUGCCUAGUAGCGGGGAUAACUACGCGAAAGCGUAGCUAAUACUGCACAUGCGCCCUUCGGGGAAAGCGGGGGAUAUCCGGGCUCCGCACUAUUAGAGCGGCCGAUAUCGGAUUAGCUAGUUGGUGGGGUAACGGCUCACCAAGGCGACGAUCCGUAGCUGGUUUGAGAGGACGACCAGCCACACUGGGACUGAGACACGGCCCAGACUCUACGGGAGGCGGCAGUGAAAUUUUGGACAAUGGAAACCUGAUCCAGCCAUCCGCGUGUGCGAUGACCGAAGGCCUUCGGGUUUGUAAAGCACUUUUGGCGGGAAAAACGGCACGGGAUAAUGCCCCGUGCAACUGACGAUACCUGCAGAAUAAGCACCGGCUAACUACAUUACCCGGCGCCAGCCGCGGUAAUAAGUGCAAGCGUUAAUCGGAAUUACUGGGCAUAAAGCGUGCGCAGGCAGUUCGGAAAAAGAUGUAAAUCCCAGAGCUUAACUUUGGAACUGCAUUUUUAACUACCGAGCUAGAGUGUGCUCAGAGGGAGGUGGAAUUCCGCGUGUAGCAGUGAAAUGCGUAGAUAUGCGGAGGAACACCGAUGGCAGAGAGCAAACUUUCUGGGAUGGCACUGACGCUCAUGCGGCAGCCGGGAGCAAACAGGAUUAGAUACCUGGUGGUCCCACGCCCUAAACGAUGUCUUUAGCUGUUGGGGCCUUCGGGCCUUGGUAGCGCAGCUAACGCGUGAAGUUGACCGCCUGGGAAUUACGGUCGCAAGAUUAAAACUCAAAGGAAUUGACGGGGACCGCACAAGCAGUGGAUGAUGUGGAUUAAUUCGAUGCAACGCGAAAACCUUACCUACUGACAUGUCUGGAAUCCCGAAGAGAUUUGGGGUGCUCGCAAGAGAACCGGAACACAAGGUGCUGCAUGGCUGUCGUCAGCUCGUGUCGUAGAGAUGUUGGAGUUAGAUCCGCAACGAGCGCAACCCUUGUCAUUAGUUGCUACGAAAGGGCACUCUAUUAGAACCGCCGGUGACAAAGCCGGAAGGAAGAGUGGGGAUGACACGUCAAGUCCUCGUAGCCCCCUUAUGGGUAGGGCUUCACACGUCAUACAAUGGUCGGGACAAGAGGUCGCCAACCCGCGAGAGGCCAAUCAGAAGCCCGAUCGUAGUCCGGAUCUUAGUCUGCAACUCGACUGCGUGAAGUCCCGGAAUCCUUCUAGCCAAUCGCGGAUCAGCAUGUCGCAGGUGAAUACGUUCCGGGUCUUGUACACACCGCCCGUCCGCACCAUGGGAGUGGGUUUACCAGAAAUGUAGCUAACCGUAAGAGGGCGAUUACCACAGGUAGGAUUAUGACUGGGUGAAGUCGUAACAAGAUA
Molecule: ribosomal RNA, 1474 nt
Filed under: uncultured Bordetella sp.
Lineage: Bacteria; Pseudomonadati; Pseudomonadota; Betaproteobacteria; Burkholderiales; Alcaligenaceae
Description: partial 16S-23S ribosomal RNA intergenic spacer
Rfam family: Bacterial small subunit ribosomal RNA
Source: RNAcentral